UUUAUUUAUUGAAUAAAACUCAGACGUUAUCACAUUACCAGAGUUAAAGUUUGACGGGUCGUUGGACAUCGCCAAAGAAACCAGAGGUUAAACAAGGGGCGUGAAUAAGGCCGAAGCCUUUAACACAUUAAUGAUCCUUCCGCAGGUUCACCUACGGAAA
Molecule: unclassified non-coding RNA, 160 nt
Filed under: uncultured fungus
Lineage: Eukaryota; Fungi
Description: sequence contains ITS1
Source: RNAcentral